CUGCUGGCUCUUUUCCUCUUAGGCUAUAGCUACUAGUCCCCCUCGCUCCUCUCCCCUCCCUCUUCCCUCCUUCUCACUCUUCUCUCCUUUUCUCCUGCUGCCUUCUGAUUCCUGCUGGGGCACCACAGGGCUUCCCUUCCCCUUUCCCUGCCAGACUGUGCCUGCUCCCUGCUAAAAGAUAACCCAUAAGCUAACUGGUUAUGACUGCACUUAUUGGUUAAAUGAUUAAUCAUUUAACCUUUCACGUGCCUACUGCCAGCUCAGCUUUGCCAGCACCAGAGCUGGAGAUGACGGGAGGUGGAAGCAGAGCUCCCUCGCCUUGUGAUCCAUCUCCCCCCAAGACCACAGCACAGGUUAAAAGAUCUGCACUUUUGCCCAGGACCCAGAAAGCAACCAUCUGUCACCUCUAAAGACAUUUUCCCAGAGCCUCAGACAUUCACAACUUGAAACAGUAUGACCUCCAUGCUGUAAAGAAGAUGGUUUUCCAGAGAUGAAACACCAAGAUACUUUGUGGUAGGUUCCCAGCUGCCAAAGUAUCACAGCAGUAAGUAAUGUCAACAAUCAACUUUACAUAUCAGAACAGAGAAAUAUUCCCAGACAAACCAUGUAAAAAUAGAACGAUAUAUUUUAAAUAAAUUCUCAGUGACACAA
Molecule: long non-coding RNA, 651 nt
Organism: Alligator mississippiensis (American alligator)
Lineage: Eukaryota; Metazoa; Chordata; Crocodylia; Alligatoridae
Exons: 2
Source: RefSeq, a predicted model, not a curated record